AGUCUGGGCCCAAAUGUUUGCCUAUAUUGCAGUGAUCAAGCUCUGUCUCUUGAUUUCCUGUCUGCAGUACAGGGAUAAAGAAAGCAGAUGAUGAUGUGAGAUGGAGCCUCCCUUGGCCUGACCUUGGGAUUGCUGAAUAGCUCAUGACUGGCAAAAUCCUGGAUUGAGUUCAGUUGGAUUUUAUGAGGUACGGAGCUGGAAAGACUGAAUUUUUCCCUCCUCAUUACAUGGCAAUGACUAUCCUAGCCAUGGCUUCUCGUUCUGUAUCUGGUAUUUCCCAUAUCAGAAGGGAUGCCAAGUACUUUCUUCCUGAUGUUCAUAGUGCCCUGGUUUUCAACCUUUUUUUUUAAUUUGUAGACUCUGCAUAUUUUCUAAGGCAGAUGUGGCCCCCCUCAGUAGUCAUGGGGCAGAGCUUAUGACAAUACUGAAACUAGUUUUCCAUGCUGCUUUUCAUGGACUCUUACAGGCAAUCUGUUGAAGUCCACAGAGAACUGAAUGCAAAGCAUGCCCUUGCCUCUUACACAAAGGCUUUCUUCUCUUCACAGUUUCAAGUGCCACCAAUGACUACUGAACUGCAGGACAAGCCCUUCCUUUCCAUUGCUGCAGCGUAAAUAUGAAAAAGAAGCCUUAUUUUCAGGCUCUGAUAACAACAACAAGAAAAGGGGGGCAAACCAGUUGUGCCUUAUUUGCUCAGUAUCAAAAGCCAUGAUAUAAAACGUGUAACAUCUGUGUUUUUGGCUGCCGUUUCAGGGAGCAGACCUCUCCUUCCACCAGCAAGAAGCCCACGACCAAGCUGAUGUGAGCAGUCAGAGCUGGAGAGUGGCCACGGACCGGCUGCAGGGCCCCAGCAGCCCUGGCUAUUUCUGGCUUUGUGACCGGCUGAGUGAGCACGAUUAGGUCGCUCACAGAGGCAGGGCCAAAAAGUUUUGCCAGCACAAAUCACCUGCAUUACAUCCCACGAGGGGCUUGCUGUGCCUUCACAGAGGAUUUG
RNAcentral lists this long non-coding RNA (991 nucleotides) under Anas platyrhynchos platyrhynchos (common mallard). Its description in RNAcentral is "lncRNA (ENSAPLG00000028284.1)". The record is from RNAcentral. Lineage: Eukaryota; Metazoa; Chordata; Aves; Anseriformes; Anatidae.